AACCUGGUUGAUCCUGCCAGUAGUCAUAUGCUUGUCUUAAAGAUUAAGCCAUGCAUGUCUAAGUAUAAGCAUUUAUACCGCGAGACUGCGAACGGCUCAUUAAAACAGUUAUGGUUUAUUUGAUGGUUCCUUUGCUACUUGGAUAACCGUAGUAAUUCUAGAGCUAAUACAUGCACGAAGGGGCGACUCACGAAGCCCUGUAUUUAUUAGAUUAAAGCCAACCACCUCCGGGUGUUCGUGGUGAAUCAUAGUAACUUCUCGGAUCGCCGGCUCUACGCCAGCGACGUGUCAUUCAAAUUUCUGCCCUAUCAGCUUUAGAUGGUAGGAUAUGGGCCUACCAUGGCGGUGACGGGUAACGGAGAAUUAGGGUUCGAUUCCGGAGAGGGAGCCUGAGAAACGGCUACCACUUCUAAGGAAGGCAGCAGGCGCGCAAAUUACCCAAUCCUGACUCAGGGAGGUAGUGACAAGAAAUAACAAUAAACCGGCUUAUGCCGGUUUAAUUGGAAUGAGUACAAUUUAAACAUCUGAACGAGGAACAAUUGGAGGGCAAGUCUGGUGCCAGCAGCCGCGGUAAUUCCAGCUCCAAUAGCGUAUAUUAAAGUUGUUGCAGUUAAAAAGCUCGUAGUUGAAUUUCUAGGCAGGUUUAAUCUGGAUUCGUUCAGUUAUAUUUGUCUAUCCGAUAUUGAACUAUAUUGGGUAUUAAGUUAUCCAUAUAGCGAACUAUCAUUUUACUUUGAAAAAAUUAGAGUGUUUCAGGCAGGCAAUUGCCCGAAUAUCUUAGCAUGGAAUAAUGGAAUAGGACUUUGGUUCAUUUGAUUGGUUAUUGAAUCAGAGUAAUGAUUAAUAGGGACAGUUGGGGGCAUUAGUAUUUAAUUGUCAGAGGUGAAAUUCUUGGAUUUAUUAAAGACUAACUUAUGCGAAAGCAUUUGCCAAGGAUGUUUUCAUUAAUCAAGAACGAAAGUUAGGGGAUCAAAGACGAUCAGAUACCGUCCUAGUCUUAACUAUAAACUAUACCGACUCAGGAUUGGCGGGAGUAUUCAACUCCGUCAGCACUGUAUGAGAAAUUAAAGUCUUUGGGUUCUGGGGGGAGUAUGGUCGCAAGGCUGAAACUUAAAGGAAUUGACGGAAGGGCACCACCAGGAGUGGAGCCUGCGGCUUAAUUUGACUCAACACGGGGAAACUUACCAAGGCCAAACAGAGGUGGGAUUGACAGAUUGAGAGCUCUUUCUUGAUUCUUUGGGUGGUGGUGCAUGGCCGUUCUUAGUUGGUGGAGUGAUUUGUCUGGUUAAUUCCGUUAACGAACGAGACCUUAACCUGCUAACUAGUUUGUAUUCUCACAGAGUGCAAUACUUCUUAGAGGGACUAUAUAUGUUAAGUAUAUGGAAGUUUGAGGCAAUAACAGGUCUGUGAUGCCCUUAGAUGCCUUGGGCCGCACGUGCGCUACAAUGACAUGCUCAGAAAGUUCUAUCCUGGUUUGGAAAAAUCUGGGUAAUCUUUAUAGGACAUGUCGUGUUAGGGAUCGAUCUUUGGAAUUAUAGAUCUUGAACGAGGAAUUCCUAGUAAGUGCAAGUCAUCAGCUUGUACUGAUUACGUCCCUGCCCUUUGUACACACCGCCCGUCGCUGCUACCGAUUUCGAGUGUUCCGGUGAACCACAUAGACUUUGAACUGCUUGCAGUUUAAGGGAAGUGUAGUAAAUCUUAACACUUAGAGGAAGCAGAAGUCGUAACAAGGUUUCCGUAGGUGAACCUGCAGAAGGAUC
Molecule: ribosomal RNA, 1760 nt
Filed under: uncultured eukaryote
Lineage: Eukaryota
Description: SSU rRNA
Rfam family: Eukaryotic small subunit ribosomal RNA
Source: RNAcentral